UACAGAGGGGGCAAGUGUUGUUCGGAAUUAUUGGGCGUAAAGAGCUUGUAGGCGGUUUGUCGCGUCUGCUGUGAAAAUCCGGGGCUCAACCCCGGACUUGCAGUGGGUACGGGCAGACUAGAGUGUGGUAGGGGAGACUGGAAUUCCUGGUGUAGCGGUGGAAUGCGCAGAUAUCAGGAGGAACACCGAUGGCGAAGGCAGGUCUCUGGGCCACUACUGACGCUGAGAAGCGAAAGCAUGGGGAGCGAACAGG
This 253-nucleotide ribosomal RNA is filed under the name uncultured bacterium. RNAcentral's name for it is "partial 16S ribosomal RNA". It matches the Rfam family "Bacterial small subunit ribosomal RNA", at positions 524 to 776 of the family's 1533-position model. The record is from RNAcentral.